Oreochromis aureus is the source of this 447-nucleotide long non-coding RNA. NCBI's taxonomy places the organism in Eukaryota, Metazoa, Chordata, Actinopteri, Cichliformes, Cichlidae. The record is from Ensembl.
CUGCUAGUUGUUUUCUGUUCCAAAAAUAUCUAGUUUAAUACUAUUUAAAUUUACAUAUAUUUUUGUAAAUUACACAAAAUUGGCAUUUUCAAUGCCAAUGCCAUUACACAAAAUUGGCAUGGCGGAGUUUCCCACUACCCGUGAAUGCCUCUUAUUUUACGUCUCUGGCUGACUCCUGAAUCUCCUCCCACUCUCUGCUUGAUCCCUGCCGAGUGAACGAGAUCUUUGGUUUUGCCUUUGCUGACUGCUGAUCUGAUCGUCUCAAGUCUGGUGACCUGCUGCAGAAAACCCUCUCCCUCUAUCAUUAACAAGCAAUUCAGUCUGUCCUAUCACUCUCCUCUCCCUGCUCCAUCUUUUUUGACAAGCCAUUCUAUCUUCUAUCAUUUCUCCGCCAUGAGCUCUAUCUAAGUUGACAAGCUUGAACCUGAGUUGAAACGCAAUCCUGUG